CGGUGUUCAACUGGCGUGUCCGCGGGACGUCCUGCCGGUGGGCUUAGCCCGCAAGGGCGGCCCAACUUCAAAUCCCAUCGCGGUGCUCUUCACUGAGUGUCGAGGUGGGCCGGCACGUUUACUUUGAACAAAUUAGAGUGCUUAAAGCAGGCUAAAACUUCGCCUGAAUACUGUGUGCAUGGAAUAAUGGAAUAGGACCUCGGUUCUAUUUUGUUGGUUUUCGGAAUCCCGAGGUAAUGAUUAAUAGGAACGGAUGGGGGCAUUCGUAUUGCGACGUUAGAGGUGAAAUUCUUGGAUCGUCGCAAGACGGACAGAAGCGAAAGCAUUUGCCAAAAACGCUUUCAUUGAUCAAGAACGAAAGUUAGAGGUUCGAAGGCGAUCAGAUACCGCCCUAGUUCUAACCAUAAACGAUGCCAGCUAGCGAUCCGUCGACGUUCCUCCGAUGACUCGACGGGCAGCUUCCGGGAAACCAAAGCUUUUGGGUUCCGGGGGAAGUAUGGUUGCAAAGCUGAAACUUAAAGGAAUUGACGGAAGGGCACCACCAGGAGUGGAGCCUGCGGCUUAAUUUGACUCAACACGGGAAACCUCACCAGGCCCGGACACCGGAAGGAUUGACAGAUUGAGAGCUCUUUCUUGAUUCGGUGGGUGGUGGUGCAUGGCCGUUCUUAGUUGGUGGAGCGAUUUGUCUGGUUAAUUCCGAUAACGAACGAGACUCUAGCCUGCUAACUAGGCGUAUUUUCGACAUCUCAAAGGUCCGUCGUCCCGGCCCUCGGGUCGUGGGCGUGCGCGAUUUUUACUGUCGGCGUACUAUCAAUUCUUCUUAGAGGGACAGGUGGCUUCUAGCCGCACGAGAUUGAGCAAUAACAGGUCUGUGAUG
Molecule: ribosomal RNA, 877 nt
Filed under: uncultured eukaryote
Lineage: Eukaryota
Description: SSU rRNA
Rfam family: Eukaryotic small subunit ribosomal RNA
Source: RNAcentral